AUUCAUCUUUAUAUUGUGCAAUUCCAGUUUUAAAUGAAAAUAUGAGCACUUGGCCAGGCACGGUGGCUCACGCCUGUGAUCCCAGCACUUUGGAAGGCCGAGGCUGGUGGAUCACGAGGUCAGGAGAUCAAGACCAUCCUGGCUAACACAGUGAAACCCCAUCUCUACUAAAAAUACAAAACAAAAAUUAGCCGGGCGUGGUGGCGGGCGCCUGUAGUCCCAGCUACUCGGGAGGCUGAGGCAGGAGAAUGGCGUGAACCUGGGAGGCAGAGCUUGCAGUGAGCCGAGAUCAUACCACUGUAUUCCAGCCUGGACGACAGAGCAAGACUCUGUCUCAAAGAAAAAAAAAAAAGAAAAAGAAAAUAUGAGCAUUUACUCAUGCAGAAUCACCAAAAUUACACAAUUUGUAUUUUAUAGCUUAUGUUUACAUACUGUAUGCAUAUGUAUUUCGUUCUUGCCACAACAGUAGAAACACUGUACAAAACUAACUCAACUGUUACUGUUUCACUUCUUAGUAUUUUCAGCAUAAGUGGUUGGCUAACACAGGAAUGUAUAUGAGUAAAAAAGGAUAUGAUAGGGCUCCUUCAUGAAUGACAUAGGUCAUUCAUGUUUCUUAGAAUGCCAUUGCCUUCUUUCUGUGUUUGAAGCCAGUCUGGUUCAGAUGGGAAGUGCAGCCUGUUGGGGCUCUCAGCAUCCCCCACUUACUCAGUUAUAGAUAUAAGAUGCUUACUUUGUACUCACUUUGAAUCUCUUCGAGCUCUGACACAUCAUGGGUCCAAUGGAGUUCUCUGCUCACAGGGGAUCACAAAGGCUACAUGUGAAUGGGGCGGUAAGGAACACUGGAUAUAUGUUGCACAUGUCUCCUCCGCUCAUGCAUAUAUUCUGUUGUCCCAUCAGACUUCACUUACAGAACACAGGUUCAAAGAUAAAAUACUGCCAGAAGAGCACUAAACUAAGUGUGAGGCCCUUCUGAGUAUGGGCCCUGUGUGACUGCACAGGUCACCCACCCAUGAAGCUGGCCCUGGUAAAGGAGGAGGGGAGCGCUUCUGGCAAAAGACCCAACAACAGGAGGUUAAGUGGGUUAAAUUGGGAAAAAACACCCAGGAAAUUUAUGUUUUGAAACUAAAGCAAUUAAAAUGGAAAUGGGCUAUAUUAUAAAUCAACUGCCCAGGAAAAAGACAUUAUGCUGGAGUCACAAAAUGAGAAUAAAUGGCAGAAUGCCUCAUGAUGCAUCGAUGUAGCUAAGAUUGUACAUAAAGUGCUACAUCAUCAUGCUGCUUGCAGGGAAGUAAGCAAGCCAAAGAUAGGAAUGAAAAGGGGCAGCCUGCACCUGAUAAUCCACAGAAUCUAGCCCUUAAAGCUGACAUGCACCAAUGCCACUAGAAUCAUGUGUAGAAAGUAAGAUACCCAGAUCCCCCUCCAGACAUACUAAAUCAAAAUUGCCAGGAAAGGUUCCAGCCAUCAAGAUUUUUAAUCAACUGAAGUGGUGACAAUGAUGCUCACCAAAUCUGAAAUUUGUUACUUAAUGGGUCUGGGUGGUUUUGCUUUUAUUGCAUGGAGAAUAAUUCAAAAUCUGUUUUUAUUCCAGUAAAGCAUAUAUAAUGACUAGAAUAGAAGGACCAAGGGACCUUUUUAGUUUCAGCAUAAAUGCGUGUAUUUUUCUAAACCUUUUAUUAUGGAGAGUUUUUAACAUUUACAAAGAUAGAAGAGCAUAAUGAAUCCCCAUGUAUCCAUCAUCCAGGUUCAUCAAUUGUCAACUCAUGACCAGGCAUGCCGUAGGUAGACCCAUAUUUACUCCUUCAGUUUUGUUUAAAUAAUUCUAUUCAAUUUAUC
RNAcentral lists this long non-coding RNA (1833 nucleotides) under Homo sapiens (human). Its description in RNAcentral is "HSALNT0250012". The record is from RNAcentral. Lineage: Eukaryota; Metazoa; Chordata; Mammalia; Primates; Hominidae.